GACGAACGCUGGCGGCGUGCUUAACACAUGCAAGUCGAACGGAAAGGCCCUGCUUUUGUGUGGUUCUCGAGUGGCGAACGUGUGAGUAACACGUGAGUAACCUUCCCUUUACUUUGUGAUAACUUCAGGAAACUGGUGCUACUACCUGCUAGGAGCUCCUGCUGCAUGGUGGGGGUUGGAACGUUUCGGCGGUUGGGGAUGGACUCGCGGCUUAGCAGCUUGUUGGUGGGGUAGUGGCUUACCAAGGCUUUGACGGGUAGCCGGCCUGAGAGGGUGACCGGCCACAUUGGGACUGAGAUACGGCCCAGACUCCUACGGGAGGCAGAAGUGGGGAAUAUUGCACAAUGGGCGGAAGCCUGAUGCAGCAACGCCGCGUGCGGGAUGACGGCCUUCGGGUUGUAAACCGCUUUCGCCUGUGACGAAGCGUGAGUGACGGUAAUGGGUAAAGAAGCACCGGCUAACUACGUG
This 468-nucleotide ribosomal RNA is filed under the name uncultured bacterium. RNAcentral describes it as "partial 16S ribosomal RNA". It matches the Rfam family "Bacterial small subunit ribosomal RNA", at positions 28 to 507 of the family's 1533-position model. The record is from RNAcentral.